RNAcentral lists this long non-coding RNA (239 nucleotides) under Homo sapiens (human). RNAcentral's name for it is "HSALNT0061990". The record is from RNAcentral. Lineage: Eukaryota; Metazoa; Chordata; Mammalia; Primates; Hominidae.
GCAACCUCCACCUCCCAGGUUCAAGCGAUUCUCCUGCCUCAGCCUCCCAAGUAGCUGGGAUUACAGAUGAAGUUGGUAUGUGGCUUCAUUCUGGAACCUCGGCUGUUGAUUCAACAGAGAAAGGGACAGAUUGUUCCAACCGAGCUUGCACUUCACUUGAAGGAAACUCAGCCUGGAUUGCUUGUGGCUUCAGUUCUGGGCUUGCAGAAGAACAACAAAAUUGGAAUUGAAGAAGCAGA